This 20-nucleotide small nuclear RNA is filed under the name Arabidopsis thaliana (thale cress). Its description in RNAcentral is "snRNA_13591". Lineage: Eukaryota; Viridiplantae; Streptophyta; Magnoliopsida; Brassicales; Brassicaceae. The record is from RNAcentral.
AUCUUAGCCAAAAGGCCGAG